RNAcentral lists this ribosomal RNA (254 nucleotides) under uncultured bacterium. RNAcentral's name for it is "partial 16S ribosomal RNA". It matches the Rfam family "Bacterial small subunit ribosomal RNA", at positions 524 to 776 of the family's 1533-position model. The record is from RNAcentral.
CACGUAGGCACCAAGCGUUGUCCGGAUUUAUUGGGCGUAAAGAGCUCGUAGGCGGUUCAGUAAGUCAGGUGUGAAAUCUUUGGGCUUAACCCAAAGCGUGCACUUGAUACUGCUGUGACUUGAGUUCGGUAGGGGAGUGGGGAAUUCCUAGUGUAGCGGUGAAAUGCGCAGAUAUUAGGAGGAACACCGGUGGCGAAGGCGCCACUCUGGGCCGAAACUGACGCUAAGGAGCGAAAGCGUGGGUAGCAAACAGG